Molecule: ribosomal RNA, 450 nt
Filed under: uncultured bacterium
Lineage: Bacteria
Description: partial 16S ribosomal RNA
Rfam family: Bacterial small subunit ribosomal RNA
Source: RNAcentral
GUGAGGAAUAUUGGACAAUGGGCGCAAGCCUGAUCCAGCAAUGCCGCGUGCAGGAAGAAGGCCUUCGGGUUGUAAACUGCUUUUGUACGGAACGAAACGGCUCUGGUUAAUACCCGGGGCUAAUGACGGUACCGUAAGAAUAAGCACCGGCUAACUACGUGCCAGCAGCCGCGGUAAUACGUAGGGUGCAAGCGUUAAUCGGAAUUACUGGGCGUAAAGCGUGCGCAGGCGGUUUUGUAAGACAGGCGUGAAAUCCCCGGGCUCAACCUGGGAAUGGCGCUUGUGACUGCAAAGCUGGAGUGCGGCAGAGGGGGAUGGAAUUCCGCGUGUAGCAGUGAAAUGCGUAGAUAUGCGGAGGAACACCGAUGGCGAAGGCAAUCCCCUGGGCCUGCACUGACGCUCAUGCACGAAAGCGUGGGGAGCAAACAGGAUUAGAUACCCCAGUAGUCC